AACGAACGCUGGCGGCAGGCUUAACACAUGCAAGUCGAACGGGCGUAGCAAUACGUCAGUGGCAGACGGGUGAGUAACACGUGGGAACCUUCCUAGGGGUACGGAACAACUCAGGGAAACUUGAGCUAAUACCGUAUACGUCCGUGAGGAGAAAGAUUUAUCGCCCUUAGACGGGCCCGCGUCGGAUUAGCUAGUUGGUGGGUAACGGCCUACCAAGGCGACGAUCCGUAGCUGAUCUGAGAGGAUGAUCAGCCACACUGGGACUGAGACACGGCCCAGACUCCUACGGGAGGCAGCAGUGGGGAAUCUUGGACAAUGGGCGCAAGCCUGAUCCAGCCAUGCCGCGUGAGUGAAGAAGGCCUUCGGUUGUAAGCUCUUUGUCUAGGGACGAGUAAUGACGGUACCUGAAGAAUAAGACCCGGCGAAACUUCGUGCCAGCAGCCGCGGUAAU
Molecule: ribosomal RNA, 451 nt
Filed under: uncultured bacterium
Lineage: Bacteria
Description: bacterial SSU rRNA
Rfam family: Bacterial small subunit ribosomal RNA
Source: RNAcentral